Non-coding RNA from Pelobates cultripes (western spadefoot toad), 224 nucleotides. The record is from the annotation of a GenBank genome assembly. Lineage: Eukaryota; Metazoa; Chordata; Amphibia; Anura; Pelobatidae.
GGAAAAUCAAUUCUAGAACUUGUGGAUUGCAAUCAUAAGAAGACCUGGCUGGAUAAUAUUCCCUAUAGACAAUUUAGGAGGAUCAGGCAAAGUCGUUCAGAAAUUGAAACUUGUAGAACUCAAAGACAAUUCUUGGCGAAAGGAUAUGCAAAGGAUCUGAUGGAGGUUGCCAAAAGGAGCACUGGAAUUACCCAGGGAAGAUACCUUAAUUAACAAAAUGAAAC